RNAcentral lists this ribosomal RNA (437 nucleotides) under uncultured bacterium. RNAcentral's name for it is "bacterial SSU rRNA". It matches the Rfam family "Bacterial small subunit ribosomal RNA", at positions 958 to 1397 of the family's 1533-position model. The record is from RNAcentral.
AACGCGAAGAACCUUACCUAGACUUGACAUCUCCUGAAUUACUCUUAAUCGAGGAAGUCACUUCGGUGACAGGAAGACAGGUGGUGCAUGGUUGUCGUCAGCUCGUGUCGUGAGAUGUUGGGUUAAGUCCCGCAACGAGCGCAACCCCUAUUGUUAGUUGCUACCAUUUAGUUGAGCACUCUAGCGAGACUGCCCGGGUUAACCGGGAGGAAGGUGGGGAUGACGUCAAAUCAUCAUGCCCCUUAUGUCUAGGGCUACACACGUGCUACAAUGGCUGGUACAGAGAGAUGCGAUACCGUGAGGUGGAGCCAAACUUUAAAACCAGUCUCAGUUCGGAUUGUAGGCUGAAACUCGCCUACAUGAAGCUGGAGUUGCUAGUAAUCGCGAAUCAGAAUGUCGCGGUGAACACGUUCCCGGGCCUUGUACACACCGCCCGU